GUGGGGAAUAUUGGACAAUGGGGGCAACCCUGAUCCAGCCAUGCCGCGUGAGUGAAGAAGGCCUUAGGGUUGUAAAACUCUUUCAGUCGUGAAGAUGAUGACGGUAGCGACAGAAGAAGCCCCGGCUAACUCCGUGCCAGCAGCCGCGGUAAUACGGAGGGGGCAAGCGUUGUUCGGAAUUACUGGGCGUAAAGGGCGCGUAGGCGGAUAAUCAAGUCAGGGGUGAAAGGCCUGGGCUCAACCUAGGAACUGCCUUUGAAACUGAUUGUCUAGAGACCGGAAGAGGAUGGCGGAAUUCCCAGUGUAGAGGUGAAAUUCGUAGAUAUUGGGAAGAACACCAGUGGCGAAGGCGGCCAUCUGGUCCGGUUCUGACGCUGAGGCGCGAAAGCGUGGGGAGCAAACAGGAUUAGAAACCCCAGUAGUCC
RNAcentral lists this ribosomal RNA (425 nucleotides) under uncultured bacterium. RNAcentral's name for it is "bacterial SSU rRNA". It matches the Rfam family "Bacterial small subunit ribosomal RNA", at positions 354 to 796 of the family's 1533-position model. The record is from RNAcentral.